GCCCGCAUAGCUCAGUGGUAGAGCAUUGUACUUAUGAGGAUAAACUAUUCAUGCGCCAUGCAAGGGUCUCCAGUUCGAUCCUGGGUGGGGGCA
This 93-nucleotide transfer RNA is filed under the name Armillaria luteobubalina. It matches the Rfam family "tRNA". From Rfam's summary of the family: Transfer RNA (tRNA) molecules are approximately 80 nucleotides in length. The record is from Rfam by way of RNAcentral. Lineage: Eukaryota; Fungi; Basidiomycota; Agaricomycetes; Agaricales; Physalacriaceae.